CUUAAACCUUUGAGAAAAAGCCCAAACAGUCUGAGGCAUACAGAAUUUGUUCAAGUUCAGCUUGCUUCCCAGAACAUUCCUCUAUAGAAAAUACUGAAGAAAUUGGAAAUGACUGCUCAUUCUUAUACUAUCCCUCCCUGGAAGUCAGUUAUCGUCAACAGAAACCGUUUGGAACCCCACAAAAUAUAUGCAUCUAGGUUCGUUCAGCUUUUUCUUCAUGAGGACUGGAGGAACAUCUUACUUUCUACAUUCCAAACUCUACCAUCUCUGAGCAUCAGUGGAGGUGGAAUCUCUUUUCCGAAGAAGGAAUACAUUUUAAAUCAAGGGAAUCCUGCCUUAUCCAUAAACACAUAACUGUCCUUAUCUUAUCAGCCUGAAACAAGGGGAUUUUACUGAGACUUACUCUUCAUUCAAAAGUAGAGAUAGAGAUGUUAAAUAAGUAUUGUCACUCAUUUCAAGAAUCAAAGGACAACUUGGUAUCAAAUGAUUACACAUGAUAUCAAGGGAUGCUGAACAGGCAAGUUCCCAACACAGGACACUGAAGAAUUUGUAGCAAUGAGCACAAACUUGAAAGAAAGAUAUUCCUAAACUUUUUGAAAUUAGUCUUAAUAUUUGUUUAAAAAUAUAGUUAUGGGGGCAGUGAGGUUGCGUAGAGAAUAGAGCACCGGUCCUGAAGUCAGGAAGAUCUGAGUUCAAAUGUGGCCUCAGACCAAACACUUGACACUUACUGAAGCUGUGUGACCCUAGGCAAGUCACUUAAUCCCAAUUGACUAAAAUAUAUAUACAUGUAUAUAUACACACACACAUAUAUACAUAUAUACACACACACACAUAUAUACAUGUAUAUAUAUACAUAUAUAUAUAUACAGAGAGAGAGAGAGAGAGAGAGAGAGAGAGAGAGAGAGAGAGAGAGAGUUAUGCAAUGUCUAGACACUUUAUAAAGAUUCAAAAAUCAUAUAAAUUACUUUUAUGGGAAGGCAUUUCAGAACUAACUUCUGAUUAUAGAAAAAAAAACUUCAAAAAAAGAUCCUAUCUCACAUAUAAGAUUGAUUUACUUAAACUUCAGCUAGCCAAGUUUACACAGAAAUAUCCAAAUGAACAGGAAUGUGGGGCUCUAUUUAAUUCUAUGAUUUAACAUUGGCCUUCAGUCCAAACAAAGAUAAAUGCUCCCAGUUUUCUUUAUGAAAACUGAACAUAAAUCCCAGAAAAAAUGCUCCUAUUCUGCAGGGGGGGGGUAAAAUCCUAUCAUAAAAAUCAUAGCCGAGCUGAUACUAGGAAUUUCAGGAACUAGGAAUAAAGAACCCCAUCCUUGCUUCUCCCUUCUGGCU
This 1328-nucleotide long non-coding RNA is filed under the name Phascolarctos cinereus (koala). Its description in RNAcentral is "lncRNA (ENSPCIG00000032600.1)". Lineage: Eukaryota; Metazoa; Chordata; Mammalia; Diprotodontia; Phascolarctidae. The record is from RNAcentral.